RNAcentral lists this ribosomal RNA (140 nucleotides) under uncultured Geobacter sp. RNAcentral describes it as "partial 16S ribosomal RNA". It matches the Rfam family "Bacterial small subunit ribosomal RNA", at positions 355 to 486 of the family's 1533-position model. The record is from RNAcentral. Lineage: Bacteria; Pseudomonadati; Thermodesulfobacteriota; Desulfuromonadia; Geobacterales; Geobacteraceae.
UGGGGAAUUUUGCGCAAUGGGCGAAAGCCUGACGCAGCAACGCCGCGUGAGUGAUGAAGGCCUUCGGGUCGUAAAGCUCUGUCAGAGGGGAAGAAAUGUGGGGGGGUUAAUACCUGUUUGGCUUGACGGUACCCUCAAAG